Molecule: ribosomal RNA, 499 nt
Filed under: uncultured bacterium
Lineage: Bacteria
Description: partial 16S ribosomal RNA
Rfam family: Bacterial small subunit ribosomal RNA
Source: RNAcentral
AUUGAACGCUGGCGGAAUGCUUUACACAUGCAAGUCGAACGGCAGCACGGACUUCGGUCUGGUGGCGAGUGGCGAACGGGUGAGUAAUACAUCGGAACGUGCCCAGUCGUGGGGGAUAACGUAGCGAAAGCUACGCUAAUACCGCAUACGAUCUAAGGAUGAAAGCGGGGGAUCGCAAGACCUCGCGCGAUUGGAGCGGCCGAUGGCAGAUUAGGUAGUUGGUGGGGUAAAGGCUCACCAAGCCGACGAUCUGUAGCUGGUCUGAGAGGACGACCAGCCACACUGGGACUGAGACACGGCCCAGACUCCUACGGGAGGCAGCAGUGGGGAAUUUUGGACAAUGGGCACAAGCCUGAUCCAGCCAUUCCGCGUGCAGGAUGAGGCCCUCGGGUUGUAAACUGCUUUUGUACGGAACGAAAAGGCUCUGGUUAAUACCCGGGGCUCAUGACGGUACCGUAAGAAUAAGCACCGGCUAACUACGUGCCAGCCGCCGCAGUAA